UACGGAAGGGGCAAGCGUUGUUCGGAAUCAUUGGGCGUAAAGGGCGCGUAGGUGGUUCUGUAUGUCUACCGUGAAAGCGUACGGCUCAACCGUAUUUUGUCGGUGGAAACUGCAGGACUUGAGGCUGGGAGGGGCUGGUGGAAUUCCCGGUGUAGCGGUGAAAUGCGUAGAGAUGGGGGAGAACACUCGUGGCGAAGGCGGCCAGCUAGACCAGUUCUGACACUGAGGCGCGACAGCGUGGGGAGCAAACAGG
Molecule: ribosomal RNA, 253 nt
Filed under: uncultured bacterium
Lineage: Bacteria
Description: partial 16S ribosomal RNA
Rfam family: Bacterial small subunit ribosomal RNA
Source: RNAcentral